UUGGGCGACCGAUUUGCUGAAC
RNAcentral lists this microRNA (22 nucleotides) under Callorhinchus milii (elephant shark). Its description in RNAcentral is "eshark_NOVEL_102". The record is from RNAcentral. Lineage: Eukaryota; Metazoa; Chordata; Chondrichthyes; Chimaeriformes; Callorhinchidae.